RNAcentral lists this transfer RNA (68 nucleotides) under Desmodillus auricularis (Cape short-eared gerbil). Its description in RNAcentral is "tRNA-Phe". It matches the Rfam family "tRNA". Rfam says of the family: Transfer RNA (tRNA) molecules are approximately 80 nucleotides in length. Their secondary structure includes four short double-helical elements and three loops (D, anti-codon, and T loops). Lineage: Eukaryota; Metazoa; Chordata; Mammalia; Rodentia; Muridae. The record is from RNAcentral.
GUUGAUGUAGCUUAACACUAAAGCGAAGCACUGAAAAUGCUCAGAUGGAUUCUUUUAUCCCAUAAACA